Molecule: ribosomal RNA, 369 nt
Filed under: uncultured phototrophic eukaryote
Lineage: Eukaryota
Description: SSU rRNA
Rfam family: Bacterial small subunit ribosomal RNA
Source: RNAcentral
UACGGGGGAUGCAAGCGUUAUCCGGAAUCAUUGGGCGUAAAGCGCCUGUAGGUUGUUUAAUAAGUUUGUUGUUAAAGACUAGGGCUUAACCCUAGGAAAGCAAUGAAAACUACUAGACUUGAGUGUGAUAGGGGUAGAGGGAAUUUCUAGUGUAGCGGUGAAAUGCGUAGAUAUUAGAAAGAACACCGGUGGCGAAGGCGCUCUACUGGAUCAUUACUGACACUCAGAGGCGAAAGCUAGGGUAGCAAAAGGGAUUAGAUACCCCUGUAGUCCUAGCCGUAAACGAUGGAUACUAGGUGUUGCAUUCUUAGUGCAGUAUCGUAGCUAACGCGUUAAGUAUCCCGCCUGGGGAGUACGCUCGCAAGGGUG